This 253-nucleotide ribosomal RNA is filed under the name uncultured bacterium. Its description in RNAcentral is "partial 16S ribosomal RNA". It matches the Rfam family "Bacterial small subunit ribosomal RNA", at positions 524 to 776 of the family's 1533-position model. The record is from RNAcentral.
UACAGAGGUCUCAACCGUUGUUCGGAUUCAUUGGGCGUAAAGGGUGCGUAGGCGGUCGCGCAAGUCGGAUGUGAAAUCUCAGGGCUCAACCCUGGGAUGCCGACCGAUACUGUCGGACUAGAGUUCGGAAGAGGCGAGUGGAAUUCCCGGUGUAGCGGUGAAAUGCGCAGAUAUCGGGAGGAACACCAAUGGCGAAGGCAGCUCGCUGGGACGUUACUGACGCUGAGACGCGAAAGCGUGGGGAGCAAACAGG